AUUGAACGCUGGCGGCAGGCCUAACACAUGCAAGUCGAGCGGAUGAAGGGAGCUUGCUCCUGGAUUCAGCGGCGGACGGGUGAGUAAUGCCUAGGAAUCUGCCUGGUAGUGGGGGAUAACGUCCGGAAACGGGCGCUAAUACCGCAUACGUCCUGAGGGAGAAAGUGGGGGAUCUUCGGACCUCACGCUAUCAGAUGAGCCUAGGUCGGAUUAGCUAGUUGGUUGGGUAAAGGCCUACCAAGGCGACUAUCCGUAACUGGUCUGAGAGGAUGACCAGUCACACUGGAACUGAGACACGGUCCAGACUCCUACGGGAGGCAGCAGUGGGGAAUAUUGGACAAUGGGCGAAAGCCUGAUCCAGCCAUGCCGCGUGUGUGAAGAAGGUCUUCGGAUUGUAAAGCACUUUAAGUUGGGAGGAAGGGCAGUAAGUUAAUACCUUGCUGUUUUGACGUUACCAACAGAAUAAGCACCGGCUAACUUCGUG
RNAcentral lists this ribosomal RNA (484 nucleotides) under uncultured bacterium. Its description in RNAcentral is "partial 16S ribosomal RNA". It matches the Rfam family "Bacterial small subunit ribosomal RNA", at positions 30 to 507 of the family's 1533-position model. The record is from RNAcentral.